Molecule: long non-coding RNA, 5360 nt
Filed under: Daucus carota (carrot)
Lineage: Eukaryota; Viridiplantae; Streptophyta; Magnoliopsida; Apiales; Apiaceae
Description: long non-coding RNA (DCAR_LNC003393)
Source: RNAcentral
ACCAACACAGUCUAGGAAAUCCAAACCACCAAACAAGUGAAAAUCCCUAAUAAAACCCUAUUUCUCAAACAUACAUUAUCCUGUACAAGCUGCUUGAUCAACUAUACAAGUGCAAAUCCCACUGCGUACUUGUAAGUGUAUUCCGGCCUGUGUAAAUAUCAGUAUUCCUCUGUAAUUGUCAUAUUUUAUAUGCAUAACUCUUGUAUCUAUCUUCCUUGAAUACUGAAAAUUAGGUAAAUUAGAAUGCCUGACUUGAUUUCUUGACAUUGUAUGUUUACUCUGUAUUAUUCGUUCCCAAUUAAAAUUAGGUAAAUUAGAAUGCCUGACUUGAUUUCUUGACAUUGUAUGUUUACUCUGUAUUAUUCGUUCCCAAUUAAAAUUAGGUAAAUUAGAAUGCCUGACUUGAUUUCUUGACAUUGUAUGUUUACUCUGUAUUAUUCGUUCCCAAUUUACUGGUUCAAUAGAUAAAUGUGUUCGGGAGAAGCAGAUGACAGCAGAUAAAUGGCUUGCUAUCAUUUUUAGUGCUAAAGUGUAAAUGAAACUAAAUUCACACAAACCUAAUCAUUUUAAACUGAAUUUAAGUUAAAACGGAACCCAUUAUUGGUUCUUUUGCCGUUUCAAAGCCAUAUCGAGCAGUAAUUAACCGAGCUGAACCAUUUACUAAGUGAGUCUCAGUGAAAUAAUAAAUUUAUACAAGUUUUUAAGUUAUCAGGUGAUGUAUUCUAACAUGAUAGGAAUAAAUUUUACAGUUUAUAUCUACGUUUAACAAAGACAAGGCUGCUGAUUAUGUUUAAUCUAUAAGUAGUUGUGUUAUUCUGACCUUGAUUAUUCAUAUUCACCUAUUUCAGUGAAAGGGUAGUGAUUUGAUUGAUCUCAAUGUUUAGAUUAAGUCUUCAUUGCAAAUGGUGUUGAUCAAUACUUCAAUAGCAAACGUUUCAGUUUAAAGAUUCAGUUCCAACUACUUUUAUAAUCAGAAUGUUGUAUACUGCAUUCCAGUGACUUGCAAAGAUUAUUUAUAAGAUAAUUUGUAUCCGUCUUGUGUGUAAAUUUACAUCUGGAUAUAAUAUUUUUAAAGAUAUUUUUAGAUAGAAAUUGAACAUUCUUGAAUGAACCAAUUAUUUUAAAACCUAUCAGUUUGGUUGGGUUUGGUUUUUUUUUUAGAACUGAGGUUCUAUGGUCACCCUUACUUUUAGUAUAUAACAAAGAAAUAAAGGGGGUGGUGUUGCUGCUUGCCACGAUCUUGACAUUUACAUAGGAAUUUUGAAUUUGCAUCAUAAUUGCCACACAUUUAUCAACAUAUUUCCAGUGUAUCCUAUAUGGCUAUGUAUCAUAAGCAUAAGAGGGAAUGUCGAAAGCUUAUGGACUUGUUAGGUCUAUAUUUAAUACUAGUUGAAGGUCCAGAUUUAUAAUUUUAAUAUUUAUAAGAAAGGUCUUGAGUUGAUUUUUGUUAAAAACAGAAAAUUAACCUAGUAUUUUUUAUUUUUUUAGUUAAUGGUAAUGGUAGAAUAAUUUGACAACUAUAAAAAGAUUUGGUACAUAUAGUAAGAGAGUAGAAGAGCUCAAUGCUUGACAAUUACAUGUAUUUAGUAAACUGUAAUGCACUUAUAAUGAAUAUAUUUGAAACUUGUACAAAAGUUCGUGCAUUGCAUAUCUUUUUAAUUAAAAUAAGAUAAUAUAAAGAGAAAAAACAUUAUGUUGUGUUAUGUAGAAUCGAGCCUUAGAUUUUAAGUAGAAUUUCAAUAUUCCUCAUACUUUUAAAAGUUAUUUUAUUUUUAUAAUAUCGAGAUAUCCACACAUUAACUUUUGGUAGUACUUUCGGUAUGAUAUUUUUUACUAUGCAAACUUUGACCUCUGUCUAAUUUUGCUAAUAAAUGGAGAAGUAGAUGUGGUGGCAUCAUUAUAAAUUACUAGGGGGAAAAGUUGGUUGUACUUUAUUAACCAAUUUGUACUUAGAGACGAUUAAGGUCCAACAAAUGUAAAUAAAGACAUAUGCUGGACUCUUGACCUUAGUUAUAUAUAGUUGAACUGGACAUCAACAAUGAUUGAACUGAAUGAAAAUAAUGUUAAAUCAUUGAAAUAUUUACUUGUUAUUUUAAGUGUCAAAUGGUGAACCCUAAAGUAACUUUUACAAUUAUAUGUGACUUAAUAAGUUUAACUACAUAUGUUUGUACAUAUAUAAGUGAGGUUCAUCAUGCAGCUGUUGAACCUUAGCCGUCUGUGUUAAACUGUAGGUUUAUGUUCCUUAUUGUACAAACAAAGAAUACAUAAAAGAACAGUGCAAUUUAAUCAAAGAUAUUACUAAUUAAUUUGAUAUUUCUAUAUUGUCAGUCUGAAUAUUUAACGAUGGAAUCAUGGCCAUUAGAAUGUUUUUAAGUAAAUGUGACUAAUAUGAGAAUAAUCUUAUCACAAAAACCACUAAUUUGGUGUGGCAAAAAAAAAAAAAAAAAAAAAACCACUAAUUUGGUAUUGUUCUUGUUAGCUAGGGGCUGAGGGCAAAAAAGGCUAGAAUAGGGAUUAGUGACUCGGGUUGACCUAGCAAUGCAGUUUGUAAAAUUUUGUGUGUGAUUACUAUAUUAUAGUUUGAUUAUAUAUCUGGAUGAUCUGAAUUUUAAAGCUAUUUGCACUCAAAUCGCAAUUAAUCUUCUGUGUAUGUUUAUAUUAAUAUGAACUGCCACCCGGAUCCGGUCUACUUCUCGUUUACAUUAGAUAGAUAAUUACAGUAUUGAUUGCCAGAAAAGAAUUGGGGACGGGUAUAACUCCUUUUUUUGACCCUGCACUGCGUUCUUAUUUGCGGUUUUGGGAUAGUGUGAUGGGUAUGAGAAGGAUCCUGCUGCAGAAAUAUAUAUAUUUUGCAAAUUGUGGUGUUGAUGAAAUAUACGCGAAACUGAAUAUUGACUUUAAACAGUUGUUUUCGCAAUCUUUCUCGUUGAUAAUAUACUAGCUUCAUAUUUAGUCUGUCCUCAUGUAUGUACAAAAACUGAUCCCUCACAAAAAUUCGGGGAUGCAGUAACAGUCUAUCUAAUAUACAGUUCUGUUGGGAAAGAACUAGUGGUUGAGCACAUUGAGAAUUAAUACUCGUGUCUUGAUCAAUGAUCGGACUAGACAGUCUAAUUGUUCUUCACAUUCUUGCAUAUUCAUGUCCAAUGCCGUCAGACAUUUCUGAACGUCUUGUGUUUGUGUUAUAUCACUUUUUUUGCUUGAUUUCUUGCUGAUAGCUUCUAAAGCCAUAUCCAUGUUGUGAACUUGGUUGAUAAUUUCUUCUGUGUCCUCUUCACAAUGUACACGCUUGGACUGUGUUGACUUGAAAACCUUUGACCAUGUGCUUUUUGUCGAUGCUUCCUUUGCAGGACAGAUGGAUGAGAAGAUAGACUCGAAAACUGAGAUGCUGACUUCUUCGACUUCCCUUAGAAGGCUCACGAUAGCAGGAGUCUCGAUGCUUUUGUUAAUUUUGGACUUCUUAGAACCAGCAAAGCACUUGGAGAGCAUUCUGUUUGCCUUUUUCUUACAUACCAGGUAGCUUGCGAUUCUGCUUGAUACAUCAGUUUGUCUUCUACGUAGAGAGGAUUCUAGAUCUUGAACUGAAUCUCUCAUAUGCGAGAGAGCAUCUUUUGAGGUGCUGCACUGAUCCAAUAACCUAAUGGACCCGCAAAGAUAUCUUCUCCGCAGCUCAAACGAUCUUGCUGUGCGGCUUGCGAUUGGAUCAAAUCUUCUACACACUCAUAUAAGUCCUUGAAGAGCGGAUAAUUUGUCGCAUUUGGAUACUGUCGAUGAGGAUGUCCCUUCCGGGGUCCUUAAUCUGCGCAAGUGCUCCUCAACAGUGGCUGUCAAGAGAUGAGAUCUGGAUGGUAAGCUGAUGGAACGAGAAUGAGCACUAACUUUUGUGGUUGCAAUUGAGGCUGCCAUUUUUAUUUGCAGGAGGAAUUAGAUGCCAAUGAAAAUCCUGAACUCAAGGUUUGUUUGAUUGAACUCUCACCUUGGCACCUUUUUAUAAACUAUGAGGAGACAAAAGGAAUCAACUUAAUUUCCUUCAUGUGCCGAACAGAGAAACAGGCCAAGGUAACUAGGGGCUGAGGGCAAAACAGGCUAGAAUAGGGAUUAGUGACUCGGGUUGACCUAGCAAUGCAGUUUGUAAAAUUUUGUGUGUGAUUACUAUAUUAUAGUUUGAUUAUAUAUCUGGAUGAUCUGAAUUUUAAAGCUAUUUGCACUCAAAUCGCAAUUAAUCUUCUGUGUAUGUUUAUAUUAAUAUGAAUUGCCACCCGGAUCCGGUCUACUUCUAGUUUACAUUAGAUAGAUAAUUACAGUAUUGAUUGCGAGAAAAGAAUUGGGGACGGGUAUAACUCCUUUUUUUGACCCUGCACUGCGUUCUUAUUUGCGGUUUUGGGAUAUGUGAUGGGUAUGAGAAGGAUCCUGUUGCAGAAAUAUAUAUAUUUUGCAAAUUGUGUUGUUGAUGAAAUAUACGCGAAACCGAAUAUUGACUUUAAACAGUUGUUUUCGCAAUCUUUCUCGUUGAUAAUAUACUAGCUUCACAUACAGUCUGUACUCAUGUAUGUACAAAAACUGAUCCCUCACAAAAAUUCGGGGAUGCAGUAAUAGUCUAUCUAAUAGACAAUUCUGUUGGAAAAGAACUAGUGGUUGAGCACAUUGAGAAUUAAUACUCGUGUCUUGAUCAAUGAUCGGACUAGACAGUCUAAUUGUUCUUCACAUUCUUGCAUAUUCAUGUCCAAUGCCGUCAGACAUUUCUGAACGUCUUCUGUUUCUGUGAUAUCACUUUUUUUGCUUGAUUUCUUGCUGAUAGCUUCUAAAGCCAUAUCCAUGUUGUGAACUUGGUUGAUAAUUUCUUCUGUGUCCUCUUCACAAUGUACACGCUUGGACUGUGUUGACUUGAAAACCUUUGACCAUGUGCUUUUUGUCGAUGCUUCCUUUGCAGGACAGAUGGAUGAGAAGAUAGACUCGAAAACUGAGAUGCUGACUUCUUCGACUUCCCUUAGAAGGCUCACGAUAGCAGGAGUCUCGAUGCUUUUGUUAAUUUUGGACUUCUUAGAACCAGCAAAGCACUUGGAGAGCAUUCUGUUUGCCUUUUUCUUACAUACCAGGUAGCUUGCGAUUCUGCUUGAUACAUCAGUUUGUCUUCUACGUAGAGAGGAUUCUAGAUCUUGAACUGAAUCUCUCAUAUGCGAGAGAGCAUCUUUUGAGGUGCUGCACAGAUCCAAUAACCUAAUGGACCCGCAAAGAAUAUCUUCUCCGCAGCUCAAACGAUCUUGCUGUGCGGCUUGCGAUUGGAUCAAAUCUUCUACACACUCAUAUAAGUCUUGAAGAGCGGAUAAUUUGUCGCAUUUGGAUACUGUCGAUGAGGAUGCCCC